This 402-nucleotide ribosomal RNA is filed under the name uncultured Rickettsiales bacterium. RNAcentral's name for it is "bacterial SSU rRNA". It matches the Rfam family "Bacterial small subunit ribosomal RNA", at positions 353 to 772 of the family's 1533-position model. Lineage: Bacteria; Pseudomonadati; Pseudomonadota; Alphaproteobacteria; Rickettsiales. The record is from RNAcentral.
AGUGGGGAAUAUUGGACAAUGGGCGAAAGCCUGAUCCAGCCAUGCCGCGUGAACGAUGAAGGCCUUAGGGUUGUAAAGUUCUUUUGUCAGGGAAGAUAAUGACGGUACCUGAAGAAUAAGCACCGGCUAACUUCGUGCCAGCAGCCGCGGUAAUACGAAGGGUGCUAGCGUUGUUCGGAAUCACUGGGCGUAAAGCGCGCGUAGGCGGCGAUCCAAGUCAGGGGUGAAAGCCUGGAGCUCAACUCCAGAACUGCCUUUGAAACUGGAUUGCUAGAGUGUCGGAGGGGAUAGCGGAAUUGCUAAUGUAGAGGUGAAAUUCGUAGAUAUUAGCAGGAACACCGGUGGCGAAGGCGGCUAUCUGGACGACAACUGACGCUGAGGCGCGAAAGCGUGGGGAUCAAA